UUAGUAUACUUACCUAAGUAAUUAUAUCAUAGAAUACAUUUUAUUAUUCGCUUUUGUGGCCUCAAGUCAAUUUAUAGUAAGUAAGUAAGUAUUAUAUUUUUAUGUAAGUAACUAUGUUAGUUUAGAUGUAAGUAAAUAAAAUUUCCUAAGGGCGGCUUGCAGAAAAGAACCCCUAAGCAUAGCUUUACUAAACGUUUCUUAAGACUAAACUGAUUUUUAUUUAAAACGAUUUAAAACUGUCUUGCGCCAUGGUUUUUCUAAAGCGAUUUAACAAAACCUAGUUUAUGAUAUCAUUCAAUUUCUCAUUCGGUCUAUACGAUUCGUUAUACACUAUUUGAUUUAAAAUUUGAUAGUUUCCAAUGAAGUGGGCUAUUAUUUUGGGUGAAAUGAAAUAUACUUGUCGUCACAUGUCAGUCCAGUCACCGAGUGUUACUGUCAGUGUCACUUGAUAAACAAACAACCGUGUGCAGUUACCGAAAUAUUAUUAGUUACCUAAUUGAUAAAUUAUAAAAAUGGAAGGUAAAAAACACCAACGGGCACCCAAUUUUACAUGUGACGAAAGUAUGCUUUUAUGUAACCACGUAGACACAUAUAAUUUCAUAAUUGAAAAUAAAAAAACUGAUGGUUAGACCGUAGCCGAAAAACAAAAGGCUUGGAAGAUGCUGAGUAAAGAAUAAUAUAACGCCAACACCACUUAUGUACCCAGAACUACUGAGAAUUUACUGAUAUACCUAGAUAGCAAAGUUUUAAACGCGUCUGUAGUUCAGACAGUGGAGCUCCAUGGACAAGACUGAUGUUAAUCUCCCCCCAGAGGAAUGCCAUACAACAUUCAUCAAUAUUUUAAGUAAAGAAGCGAAACAAUCAUCAAGCAAAAUAAAACAACAAGCCAUAUUUUAAGAUUUAGGUAUAUAACUAAUAUACAGUGGUAAUUAAUAAUAAUAAACAUGUUUUUAAAUCAACUGGUGUUUGGUACUGGUGACGCUAUAACAUUGCAAAAUAGUUAUUGAUCAGCGAAGUUCUUGCAUUGUUCCCAGACUGUAAGGCACGAGGAGGUUGGUUGUUGUGGUAUUAUUUGUAAGACGAAAGCUUUUAAUAAAUUCAUCGUCUCGAUAAGCACGAAACAAAUCUGUUAUUUUAGUAGUUAACCCUCCUAUAAAAGUAAGGGGUAUUCAAAUAUUCAAUCAUUUCUUUAUCGUCGUCUGAGUAACACAUUUUUGAUCUUCUUCUUCUUCUUCUAUCGUGUAAAUGCACUAAGCUAACUUCCACCAGUGUUUUGCUACUCUUAUUGCGAGGUCAUUGGCCUUCAUCAGGUCUCCUUGACUGCACUUUGGGGCAUAAGGUGUGACGUAGUCUGGAGGCUUCCGCAACUGCAUAGAGUGCUGGCAUUGGCUGGGAGCAUAUCCCAUCGCCUCAAACAUUUUUGAUAUUACCGAGUAAGUUAAUUAGAAAUUCUAAUUACUAACAACAAAACAACCAAAAAGAAUACUUCAAAGAUUGUUUUUGACAUUUGACAAAGAAGUUAAAUCUCGAUUUACGCGUAAAACCGAGAUAUUGCCGGUUUAAUUUUGACGUUUCUCUAAAUCGAGAUUUGACACUAAAUCGAGGUCGUGCAAGAGGAUUUUGCUGAUUUACGCUUAAACUGAGCUUAAGUUGAACAAAAUCGAGUUUUAAGACGUUCUUGCAAGCCGCCCUAAGUA
Non-coding RNA from Plutella xylostella (diamondback moth), 1697 nucleotides. The record is from RefSeq and is a predicted model, not a curated record. NCBI's taxonomy places the organism in Eukaryota, Metazoa, Arthropoda, Insecta, Lepidoptera, Plutellidae.